GGCAGGCCCAGGAGUGAUAAGCGUGAACUAGAGAGUGCUGUGCAGGAGGAAGCUGGGGCCGCCGUCGGGCCUUCUCCCUCCAGGGGCCCAAGAGCCACUGGUACUCAGUGUCUGGGUGGGGGCAGGGGGGAUUUUUGUUCUCCCAGCACCUGCGGCUGUUGAGACCAGAGAAGCUGGUGGUCGACCACAGCCUGGGGUAUUAGUUCACCCCUAGCUUCUCCCCAGCGAGACCCCAGGGCCCUUGGGCACAGGGGAUUAAGCCUCUAUCUGCUUACGUGCAAGCGGAAGAAAUAGGCCCAGAGAGCAACAGUGGCGGGUCUGCAGUCACACAGCCAACUUGCGCUUGUGGCAGUGGCAAGGUUGGUGAGUAUCUGAGUCUUCAGGCCACGGCAUUUUCCGCUCGAGUGGAGCCUGAAGUUCUGAGGGUACCCCUCACUCAAGCUCCAGGCGUCAGGAAAAGAACAUUCCACGAAGUCCAUCUGGAAGACGGUCCUUUCCCUGCUGCCCCCAGCUUCUAGAACAUUCCCUGGAACACAGCAAGUGUUCAGUAUUGUUCAUGGAGUGACAGAUGUCUCAGCCAAGAAGGUACAAUCACAGGGAAGAAUGACUUCAACUGGUCUUGACUUCAACCUGCUUCCAGCCUGGUUCCCUUCUCCCACCUCCCUACAGCCCACAGAAGAUCUUUUCCAAACUGGAAGUCUGUCCAGGUCAUUCUUCUGCUCUAAGGCUUUCAGUAGCUCCCCCUUAUCCCCAGGAGGAAGUCCAAAUGCCUUAACAAGUGUCAAGGAACACUUGGUGAGCCCUGCUUUCCUUGCUAGUCACUCGUGCACAGCUGAGUCUUUCCCCAGAGUGGAUGUCAUUCAUGCUGUUCCCAUUGCCUGGAUUCCUGCUCCUCUCCACCCCAUUCAACUGAUAAACUCGUGGUUUUUUUUUUUUUUUUUUUUUUUUUUGAGACUGAGUCUCGAUCUAUCACCCACGCUGGAGUGCAGUGGUGCAAUCUCGGCUCACUGCAACUUCUGCUUCCUGGGUUCAAGAGAUUCUUGUGCCUCAGCCUCCCGAAUAGCUGGGGUUACGGGCGUCUGCCAACAUGCCUGGCUAAUUUUUGUAUUUUUAAUAGAGAUGGGGUUUCACCAUGUUGGCCAGGCUCUUCUCAAACUCCUGACCUAAAGGGAUCCCCCCGCCUUGGCCUACCAAAGUGCUGGAAUUACAGGCGUGAACCACUGUGCCUGGCCUCAACUGAUACACUCUUGUCCUUUUACUAGGCUCAGCUUAGGGACCGUCACCUCCAGGAAGCCUUCCCAACCUGCACUGAUCACUUCUUCUUCUUCUCUUUGGGAUUAUCACUUGUAUUGUAAUAAAAUCUUGUUUUUUUUCUUUAAAAAAUAUUAUUUGCAUUCAGCAAAAUUCACCCUUUUUGAUAUACAGUUCUGAGGUUUUUUUUAGUUCUAUAAGUUUUGUCAAAUAUGUAAAGUUGUAAUCUCCAACACAAUCAAAAUAUAAAACAAUUUCCUCACCCCUCCCCAAUUCCCUUAUGCUCUUUUGUAUCCAACACUUCUUCCCACUCCAGCCCCUGGCAACCACGGAUUUGCUUUCUGUCUGUACAACACUGCCUCUUCCAGAAUGUCAUAUAUAAAAUCACGCUGUUU
Molecule: long non-coding RNA, 1646 nt
Organism: Homo sapiens (human)
Lineage: Eukaryota; Metazoa; Chordata; Mammalia; Primates; Hominidae
Source: Ensembl